AACGAACGCUGGCGGCAGGCCUAACACAUGCAAGUCGAGCGCCCCGCAAGGGGAGCGGCGGACGGGUGAGUAACGCGUGGGAACGUACCCUUUGCUACGGAAUAGCCUCGGGAAACUGGGAGUAAUACCGUAUGUGCCCUUCGGGGGAAAGAUUUAUCGGCAAAGGAUCGGCCCGCGUUGGAUUAGGUAGUUGGUGGGGUAAUGGCCUACCAAGCCGACGAUCCAUAGCUGGUUUGAGAGGAUGAUCAGCCACACUGGGACUGAGACACGGCCCAGACUCCUACGGGAGGCAGCAGUGGGGAAUCUUAGACAAUGGGGGAAACCCUGAUCUAGCCAUGCCGCGUGAGUGAUGAAGGCCUUAGGGUUGUAAAGCUCUUUCAGCUGGGAAGAUAAUGACGGUACCAGCAGAAGAAGCCCCGGCUAACUCCGUGCCAGCCGCCGCUGUAA
Molecule: ribosomal RNA, 447 nt
Filed under: uncultured bacterium
Lineage: Bacteria
Description: partial 16S ribosomal RNA
Rfam family: Bacterial small subunit ribosomal RNA
Source: RNAcentral